UGGGGAAUAUUGCACAAUGGGCGCAAGCCUGAUGCAGCCAUGCCGCGUGUAUGAAGAAGGCCUUCGGGUUGUAAAGUACUUUCAGCGGGGAGGAAGGCGAUAAGGUUAAUAACCUUGUCGAUUGACGUUACCCGCAGAAGAAGCACCGGCUAACUCCGUGCCAGCAGCCGCUGUAAUACGGAGGGUGCAAGCGUUAAUCGGAAUUACUGGGCGUAAAGCGCACGCAGGCGGUCUGUCAAGUCGGAUGUGAAAUCCCCGGGCUCAACCUGGGAACUGCAUUCGAAACUGGCAGGCUAGAGUCUUGUAGAGGGGGGUAGAAUUCCAGGUGUAGCGGUGAAAUGCGUAGAGAUCUGGAGGAAUACCGGUGGCGAAGGCGGCCCCCUGGACAAAGACUGACGCUCAGGUGCGAAAGCGUGGGGAGCAAACA
This 427-nucleotide ribosomal RNA is filed under the name uncultured bacterium. RNAcentral's name for it is "partial 16S ribosomal RNA". It matches the Rfam family "Bacterial small subunit ribosomal RNA", at positions 355 to 774 of the family's 1533-position model. The record is from RNAcentral.